RNAcentral lists this long non-coding RNA (790 nucleotides) under Brachypodium distachyon (stiff brome). RNAcentral's name for it is "long non-coding RNA (BDIS_LNC005873)". The record is from RNAcentral. Lineage: Eukaryota; Viridiplantae; Streptophyta; Magnoliopsida; Poales; Poaceae.
CAAUACCGGUUAGAAUACAACCGUCGACUAUUUACAUCAUUUAAAUCAGCCCCUAUUGUAGCUAAAAUAUGUUUUUUUGCAUACGUGCUAGAUUUUAACCGAGUUGACUGCCACAUUUCUUCUCAAUCAUUAGUCGGAAUGCGAUGAAAUUUUAACAGUAAGCUAACAACGUCACUUUAUGAUUUUCUGUAAUUUUUCCAAUUUUUUCUGGAAACUUUUUUUUUAAUUCAAAAUUUAAGCCAACAUAAUGGGUAAGUUGAGUUGGUCAAAUUUUAACAGUAGGCUACCGAUCGUUUUCCCAAUGGAGCUGAAAUUUUAAUAAUAAGUUGAGAACAUGAAUUUUGUUUUUCUCCAUAUUUUUCUAGACUGAAAAAAUGUUAGUUGAGUUGGUCAAACCUGCCACGUAUGUGAACCAUCUUUUGGAUGGGUGAGAGGGUAAUUUAAAUGGUACGAAUAGUCGGAGGUUGUGUUCUAAACUGGUAUUGAAGUUCGGGGGUAAUCUAAACUCAAUGGUUAGUUUAGAGUUGUAAUAUGAACUUAUCCCGUCUUUAAGUGCAUAACUGCAUAUGUAGCAAAACAUUUAGGAUUGGUAAUUUCUUCGUUAUGUAUGUGCAGUAGAUUUUUGCAGAAAUUCAUAAUUUGAACUAUUGAUGUAUUAGGUAUCUAUGUGCAAUUGUUUUUGUAUAUGUCUGUCAGGAAAAUAGGAUAUUCUUAGACGCACUUUCUAGGCUGCAAUGUUAGGUUUAAUGACGUGCAAUUUACGACCAAAAUUUUAUUAUAGAACUAUGAC